This 519-nucleotide ribosomal RNA is filed under the name uncultured eukaryote. RNAcentral's name for it is "SSU rRNA". It matches the Rfam family "Eukaryotic small subunit ribosomal RNA", at positions 1161 to 1698 of the family's 1831-position model. The record is from RNAcentral.
AGGGCACCACCAGGAGUGGAGCCUGCGGCUUAAUUUGACUCAACACGGGAAAACUCACCCGGCCCGGACACUGGAAGGAUUGACAGAUUGAGAGCUCUUUCUUGAUUCAGUGGGUGGUGGUGCAUGGCCGUUCUUAGUUGGUGGAGUGAUUUGUCUGGUUAAUUCCGAUAACGAACGAGACUCUGGCCUAUUAAAUAGAUCGUUGGCUUACAAACGCCGGCGAGACUUCUUAGAGGGACAGGCGGCGAUUCAGCCGCACGAAACAGAGCAAUAACAGGUCUGUGAUGCCCUUAGAUGUCCGGGGCCGCACGCGCGCUACACUGAAGUGAUCAGCGUGCAUUUUGAAACCUACUCUGUCAAGAGUGGGGAACCCAAUGAACCUUCUUCGUGAUUGGGAUAGGGGAUUGUAAUUAUUCCCCUUGAACGAGGAAUUCCCAGUAAGCGCGAAUCAUAAGUUUGCGCUGAUUACGUCCCUGCCCUUUGUACACACCGCCCGUCGCUACUACCGAUUGAAUGUUU